GACGAACGCUGGCGGCGUGCUUAACACAUGCAAGUCGAGCGGUAAGGCCCUUUCGGGGAUACACGAGCGGCGAACGGGUGAGUAACACGUGGGUGACCUGCCCUCAGCUCUGGGAUAAGCCUGGGAAACUGGGUCUAAUACUGGAUAUGACUCCACGGUGCAUGUCGUGGGGUGGAAAGCCUUGUGCGGCUGAGGAUGGGCCCGCGGCCUAUCAGCUUGUUGGU
RNAcentral lists this ribosomal RNA (224 nucleotides) under uncultured bacterium. RNAcentral's name for it is "partial 16S ribosomal RNA". It matches the Rfam family "Bacterial small subunit ribosomal RNA", at positions 28 to 253 of the family's 1533-position model. The record is from RNAcentral.